UGGCGGCAGGCUUAACACAUGCAAGUCGAACGAUGAAGUCUAGCUUGCUAGACGGAUUAGUGGCGAACGGGUGAGUAAUGCUUAGGAAUCUGCCUAUUAGUGGGGGAUAACGUAGGGAAACUUACGCUAAUACCGCAUACGACCUACGGGUGAAAGGGGGCGUUUAGCUCUCGCUAAUAGAUGAGCCUAAGUCGGAUUAGCUGGUUGGUGGGGUAAAGGCCUACCAAGGCGACGAUCUGUAGCUGGUCUGAGAGGAUGGUCAGCCACACUGGGACUGAGACACGGCCCAGACUCCUACGGGAGGCAGCAGUGGGGAAUAUUGGACAAUGGGCGAAAGCCUGAUCCAGCCAUGCCGCGUGUGUGAAGAAGGCCUUUUGGUUGUAAAGCACUUUAAGUGGGGAGGAAAAGCUUGUGGUUAAUACCCAUAAGCCCUGACGUUACCCACAGAAUAAGCACCGGCUAACUCUGUGCCAGCAGCCGCGGUAAUACAGAGGGUGCAAGCGUUAAUCGGAAUUACUGGGCGUAAAGCGCGCGUAGGUGGUUAUUUAAGUCAGAUGUGAAAGCCCCGGGCUUAACCUGGGAACUGCAUCUGAUACUGGAUAACUAGAGUAGGUGAGAGGGGAGUAGAAUUCCAGGUGUAGCGGUGAAAUGCGUAGAGAUCUGGAGGAAUACC
RNAcentral lists this ribosomal RNA (673 nucleotides) under Moraxella nonliquefaciens. RNAcentral's name for it is "bacterial SSU rRNA". It matches the Rfam family "Bacterial small subunit ribosomal RNA", at positions 37 to 710 of the family's 1533-position model. Lineage: Bacteria; Pseudomonadati; Pseudomonadota; Gammaproteobacteria; Moraxellales; Moraxellaceae. The record is from RNAcentral.